GAUGAACGCUGGCGGCGUGCCUAAUACAUGCGAGUCGAGCGAACGGACGAGAAGCUUGCUUCUCUGAUGUUAGCGGCGGACGGGUGAGUAACACGUGGAUAACCUACCUAUAAGACUGGGAUAACUUCGGGAAACCGGAGCUAAUACCGGAUAAUAUUUUGAACCGCAUGGUUCAAAAGUGAAAGACGGUCUUGCUGUCACUUAUAGAUGGAUCCGCGCUGCAUUAGCUAGUUGGUAAGGUAACGGCUUACCAAGGCAACGAUGCAUAGCCGACCUGCGAGGGUGGUCGGCCACACUGGAACUGAGACACGGUCCAGACUCCUACGGGAGGCAGCAGUAGGGAAUCUUCCGCAAUGGGCGAAAGCCUGACGGAGCAACGCCGAGUGAGUGAUGAAGGUCUUCGGAUCGUAAAACUCUGUUAUUAGGGAAGAACAUAUGUGUAAGUAACUGUGCACAUCUUGACGGUACCUAAUCAGAAAGCCACGGCUAACUACGUG
Molecule: ribosomal RNA, 497 nt
Filed under: uncultured bacterium
Lineage: Bacteria
Description: partial 16S ribosomal RNA
Rfam family: Bacterial small subunit ribosomal RNA
Source: RNAcentral